Molecule: non-coding RNA, 86 nt
Organism: Xylariaceae sp. FL0662B
Lineage: Eukaryota; Fungi; Ascomycota; Sordariomycetes; Xylariales; Xylariaceae
Source: the annotation of a GenBank genome assembly
GGCCGCGUGGUGUAGUGGGUUAACACCUGGCAGUCCAUUGUUUUUGGAGCAAACAGUGGAAGAGGGUUCGAAUCCCUCCGCGACUA